This 340-nucleotide unclassified non-coding RNA is filed under the name soil metagenome. Its description in RNAcentral is "partial contains 5.8S ribosomal RNA, internal transcribed spacer 2, and large subunit ribosomal RNA". The stretch from base 1 to 120 matches the Rfam family "5.8S ribosomal RNA", at positions 35 to 154 of the family's 154-position model. The record is from RNAcentral.
GAUGAAGAACGUAGCGAAAUGCGAUAAGUAGUGUGAAUUGCAGAAUUCAGUGAAUCAUCGAAUCUUUGAACGCACAUUGCGCCCCUCGGUAUUCCGUGGGGCACGCCUGUUCGAGCGUCAUUUACACCCUCAAGCGCAGCUUGGUGUUGGGCGUCUGUCCCGCUCUCCGUAGCGCGGACUCGCCUCAAAGUCAUUGGCGGCGGUCGUGCCGGCUCCUCGCGCAGCACAUUUGCGCUUCUCGGAGGCCCGGCGGAUCGGCAUCCAGCAAGCUACUUUUUAUGACUUGACCUCGGAUCAGGUGAGGAUACCCGCUGAACUUAAGCAUAUCAAUAACGGAGGA